GUCCUCUGCAGGAGCAGCCAAUGUUCUAACCACUGAGCAACCUCUCCAGCCCUAUGAUGAACUGCUUCUGCAUUGUGAUGGAUGAACCUCAGAGCUCUCGAAUGAGCCUGUCUGGAUAGAGAGCUCAGCAUUUCAGAUGUAGUUGAAUGUGAACUUAUUUCCUGGAACAUCAAUUCAUCCAAAAGCCGGGUACCUCAAUGUCCCUCACAGCAAGGUGUGGUCACAUGACCUGUACUCAUCAACUGAACUUGAUAGAAAUGCUGUACACUUCUUUGGUGCGAAGUCUGUAAGACGGGAUGUGCCUUGUCUGUUUUCCACCCCUCUGGACAGCAAACAAAGGGUUCUGAACACUAAGAAGAAAACAGCCUACAAACUGCAGGGAGCCUGAGUCCCUGAACAACCUAGUAGGAUGCUCAUUGAUGAAGCUCUUCUUAUGAGCAAGGAAUAAAUCUCCCAUAAGUGAAGCCCCUGAGACACUCAGGAACAUCAGCCACAGGAGCUAACACUAGUCUGAUUGGCACACACAUCAAAACUGGAUGACAAAAUAGUUUGGCUCAAGUGAUGCAGAACAGACCUGUAGUUAUCCACCUUUCAAAUGACCAUCUUCCUUGCCUUGCUGCUCUUACGAUGCCUUUACCAGUCUUUGGUUUGUUUAUUUGUUUUUACUAUUGAGACAGGGUUUCACAUAGCUCAGGCCAGUCUCAAACUAACAUUGUAGCUGAAAAUGACCCUGAAUUUCUUAUUCUCUUGCCUUCACUUCCAAAGUACUGGGAUUAUAAGAAUGAGCCACCACAUCUGGUUUAUAUGGUAUAGAGACUCACACCCAGGGCCUCAUACAUACUAGGAAGCACUUCAGCAAACUAGCCACAUCCCUAGCUUUCUGGCAUUCUUAACAAGUCUACACAUUGCUGAAGGCACAUGUUCAUGGUCAGCCAUCUUUAUGAACACAGCUGAUGGCACAUAUUCAUUGCCAGCUCUCUUUCUGAGUACUUUCAAAAUUUGAGUUGAUUAUAUGAUAUCCUCCUGUACAUUCCGAUCCCAAUAUUCUCUAAGCCUCAGCUCAGUAGCAGGUUUUUAGGGAAGCUAGCCUGUUCCAGAACAUCACAGAAAUGAAAUUAGCCAAUAUUUUUUGUUGUUGUACAGAGGAGCAAUUUUGUUUUUGUUGCUGGGUAGUGUUCCUUUGGGUACACAUAGUCACCUGUCUUUUCACACAUUGAUGGGCAUUUGUGUUGUUACAGUUUGUGGCUGUUAUGAAUAAAACUUCUAUGAAAAUUC
Molecule: non-coding RNA, 1275 nt
Organism: Peromyscus maniculatus bairdii (prairie deer mouse)
Lineage: Eukaryota; Metazoa; Chordata; Mammalia; Rodentia; Cricetidae
Source: RefSeq, a predicted model, not a curated record